AGGGUUUUCCGUAAGGUUGAAACUUUGCCGGAAGGAAUCAUUUAAACGAAGCCGAAGGGUCCCUUUGGGG
This 70-nucleotide ribosomal RNA is filed under the name Baeomyces placophyllus. RNAcentral's name for it is "partial 18S ribosomal RNA". The record is from RNAcentral. Lineage: Eukaryota; Fungi; Ascomycota; Lecanoromycetes; Baeomycetales; Baeomycetaceae.